Schizophyllum commune H4-8 is the source of this 89-nucleotide non-coding RNA. NCBI's taxonomy places the organism in Eukaryota, Fungi, Basidiomycota, Agaricomycetes, Agaricales, Schizophyllaceae. The record is from Rfam.
UGCCCCGUGGCCCAGAUGGUUAAGGCGUGUGACUGUUAAGUUUCGCUUGGCAAAUCACAAGAUCGAGAGUUCGAGCCUCUCCGGGGCAG